UCCAUCUCAGCUCAGUGGUAGAGCGCGUCACUAGUACCGUCGUUAGACUUGUAUGACGAGGUCAGUUGUUCAAGUCGGCUAGAGGAAA
This is a non-coding RNA of Tephrocybe rancida, 88 nucleotides long. The record is from the annotation of a GenBank genome assembly. NCBI's taxonomy places the organism in Eukaryota, Fungi, Basidiomycota, Agaricomycetes, Agaricales, Lyophyllaceae.